ACACAUAGGUAGCAUGUUGAUAUCUAGAUAAUUAAGGUGGUUCAAUAGUAAGGCAAGGAACAGAGGUAGAAGGUUCAAUAAACAUGAGCACGAUACAUGGAUUAUAUUUAUAGGAGAUAAUCGCGAUCAUUGGCGGUACACCUUGCCUUGCGUCUGAAGUAGAAGGCGCAGAUGUCACCCUCAUGCAUGUUUGCAUGACAGUGGAACUCUGUCCAGUUGGUUGUGAUGGUGGUCAUCCUGUCAUUCCCUGUGAUGAGGCGAGAGACGACGGGGACCUCGCCAUCUGCAAGCUUGAUUGGCAAUGCAUCAUGAUCUUGGUUAAUGCACUUCUGGAGGUAGUCUUCUGUGUAGUGAACCUUAAAGUAGUGGGAACAUAAAGAGAACCAAUGAGAGGAAUCUAAAAGAAGUGAUACAUCAUACUGUACUAUUCAGGAAUGCUGUAGUUUGAACAACCUAGUGCUGGAUUUAUUGAAGACAGAAUAAUUAUGAGGGAUAUUAUAAAGGUGAUUCCUAUGUAAUUCAGGUUGCACCCAAUUUGUAUUAACACAGUCAAGUUAAUGUGUUAAUUAAAGAUAUUAUAAAGGUGCCAGGCAUGUUUCGAACCUCUGUGCGCACUUGUAUUGCUGGAGCGCCUAGAUACUUCUCUAAGCAUUUUCACACGGGAUCACACACAUUCGUCUUCCACAGAUAGCAAACUAACUCAUGUUAGCAUCAAGUUAUUUGUUUUCUUCUGUGAAGGGGAUGAAAGCUUUGGC
Molecule: long non-coding RNA, 755 nt
Filed under: Triticum aestivum (bread wheat)
Lineage: Eukaryota; Viridiplantae; Streptophyta; Magnoliopsida; Poales; Poaceae
Description: long non-coding RNA (TAES_LNC028648)
Source: RNAcentral